ACGGGUGAAGGAAAGCCCGCCGUGAGCCGGUCGAAGUGGGCUUCGCUGGCCAGAAGCCGCUGAAAAGGCAGCGCGAUGGAAAAUAGAAAAUAAACCUGGACACAAUCGCCCGGGUGAGGGUGAGAGCAUCGCUGACGACGUGUAUUCAAGUACUAUUUGUAUAGUGGGAAUGUGCAUUGUAUGUUUUUGUGCGUAUGUACUUGUUUAUUUGAUUGGUUUGUAGUAUUAUUGAUGUACUUUGUUUUCUUGUUACUUAUAUGCUGGGGUGGGGUGGUUGUAAAAAGCUUGAAAUAAAAGAUAUGAAAAAAAUCAAAGAUAUAGGCACAUAUGCACACACACACACACACACAGACACACACAUUGGCAUUUGUCCCCUUCUUUUUGGUUUCCAUCCAAAAAAGAGUUAUUAGGCCAGGAAGCAUACUUUAAGAGUGAUUUGUGUAGAUCCAUUCAAUAUUGCAAUAUAUGAAGGUCAAAAUCAAUACCGGCUGGGACUGUUGUAAAGAAAGAAAGAAAGAAAGAAAGAAAGAAAUGAGAAACUUCAUCAUUGUGGCAUCCUUUGAUAAAAGAUGACGCCUGGCUUGCAGAAAUGUGAAACACUGUUUAGUUGAUUUAAAAGUAGCAUUCCUUGAUAAGCGUCUACGCUGUAUAGGCCUGUCGCAUUAUCAGUUACACCUGCUUGUUAACUCUGAUCUAAUUAGCCAAUCACAGAGCAGCAUGUCAUGCAUUGUGGCCUUUAAAUGGCUCGCUGAAGUCAGAGAACGUCCAGACUGGUUGGAGCUGACGGAAAGGCAACACGGCAGUCACUCGGAGGUACGUGGUGCUGUUUGUUUUUGUGAAGGUCCAAGACUGGAAGUGGUUUGUAUGUCAAUGGGAAGCCACAGAAAUGUCCAGAACAGGGCUGCAGCAUUGUGAGUGAAGGUUCUCCUUUGGUGGUUUCUCUGAUGGGAGGGGAUUUUGGAAGGAUGACUUUUUUUUAGGAGCUUUAAAGAAAAAGCUCAGGUAAUGGGAUCGGCUCAUCUCAUCAACGACUCCGUGGAAUGAGGUGACAAAGAGCUGGAGCAGAGGGCGUUUACUGACGGUUGGUUUCCAGGUAGGCCUUGGUGCAAGGCCAGAGAAGAGAAGCAUUUACAAACCCAAUUGUUGUGUUCUAAGUCCGACACAGUCACCACCCGAGCUGGGUUCAUCGCGUCCGGUUUUCACCCGACGGCUCACUGCUGCCGUCCUCUUAUGAAGAUCAAACGGAGUAAGCUGGCUUUGGUCCCUCUCUUUCUGCAGUGGUUCUGUUGAGGCAAAGUGAAGAUGGAAGAGGGAAAAGGGUGACGGUCUCGGGUCACACUAGGACGGUGGAACCCUCAUGGCACCUCAUGGCUUGUGGGAGGAAAGCGGUCUCGCACGC
Pimephales promelas (fathead minnow) is the source of this 1399-nucleotide long non-coding RNA. RefSeq lists it as uncharacterized. Lineage: Eukaryota; Metazoa; Chordata; Actinopteri; Cypriniformes; Leuciscidae. The record is from RefSeq and is a predicted model, not a curated record.